This is a long non-coding RNA of Trichomycterus rosablanca, 499 nucleotides long. RefSeq lists it as uncharacterized. The record is from RefSeq and is a predicted model, not a curated record. NCBI's taxonomy places the organism in Eukaryota, Metazoa, Chordata, Actinopteri, Siluriformes, Trichomycteridae. The transcript has 4 exons.
UUUCUUGCUCGCUCUCAGAACUGCACUUGCCCUCGCGCUCGGAGUUUGCACGUUAAAACAGUGCCAAAAGUCGUCGACCAAUCAGAAUGUUUUUGGCUUCGACCAAUGAGCCCCAACUUCCCCUGCAUUUUCAUUGGUCGGAGAGAGUGAACCGUUGUGAAGACAAAUGGACAAUCAACGACCUCAGUGCUCGAGAAAAAGCCACAUACAAUGACAGCUUUCCCCUGGUGCAUCUAUUGUAGCUGAGAUUCCCCCACCAGAAUCCAGCAAGGAAGCAAGUAGUGUUAGAACAACAAUCAGUGAGCUGUUGUAAAAAUAUGAUUGACUACACUUCUCUAAAUACAUUUGCAGAGUGGCUAAUGCAGACUUUACCACCUAUAUGGUUGAGACAGCUGGUUCGCCCUCUCUUUGUCCAAGAACAUUCUUUCAAUGGCUCACAGGACAGGAACACAUCAGACCAGUUCGUCUGUGGAUAUUUGUGCCCAUUCAAUAAAUAAAU